This 517-nucleotide ribosomal RNA is filed under the name Anthomyia xanthopyga. Its description in RNAcentral is "partial small subunit ribosomal RNA". The stretch from base 305 to 376 matches the Rfam family "tRNA". Lineage: Eukaryota; Metazoa; Arthropoda; Insecta; Diptera; Anthomyiidae. The record is from RNAcentral.
UUGUAAUCAGUUUAUAUACCGUCGUUAUUAAAAUAUUUUAUAAGAAUGAUAAUUUUUAAAAUUUUUUNUAAGAAAGUAUAUCAGAUCAAGGUGUAGCUUAUAUUUAAGUAGAAAUGAGUUACAAUAAAUAUAUUUAUACGAAUAUGAAUUUGAAAUAUUUAUUGAAGGUGGAUUUGAUAGUAAAAUUAUAUAGAUUAAUAAUUUGAUUUUAGCUCUAAAAUAUGCACACAUCGCCCGUCACUCUUACUAUUAAGGUAAGAUAAGUCGUAACAUAGUAGAUGUACUGGAAAGUGUAUCUAGAAUGCAAUUUAAAGCUUAUUAAGUAAAGUAUUUCAUUUACAUUGAAAAGAUUUUUGUGCAAAUCAAUAUAAAUUGAUUAAAUUUUAUUUAUUAAUUUUAAAUUUUUUUUUAUAUAAAAUUAUUAAAAAUAAUUAUAAAGUGAUUUGUUUUAGUAUUUAAUAAAGAAAAAAUAAUUUUAAUUAUAGUAUAUUAGUAUUGUGAAAUAAAAUUGAAAUAA